CUAGCAAGAGUCCCUGUUUCCCCUUUUUCUUCCUUUUCAUCCAAUAAAGCUCUGUCUCACUCACCAUUCAAAUUGUUUAUGAGCCUGAAUUUUCGUGGCCAUGGUGUGUCCGGAAUUGGUGGGUUCUUGGUCUCGCUGACUUCAAGAAUGAAGCCGCGGACCCUUGCGAAACCAUAGAUGUAAAGGUGAAGAGUGUCGGCAAAUACACUUUCUGCCAUGUGGAAAAAGCUGGCCUGCAGUGAAAGGGAGAAAUACAGCAGACACACAUGGAGACUCUGAGGCAAGAAACAAAGACCUUUCAAGAAGUAUUAAGGAAGCCAGAUCUCAUGCCUUACAGCACAGUGGGAAGAACCACUGCCUCCCAUUGGUUUGGAGGUGGAGGGUUGAAUGUGUGCAACAGAGCUGCUGUGAAUCCUGCCAUGGAGGCAUAUGUAAGAUGUGCUGAAGCCUUGCCUUCACCACAAGGGACACUGAGCCAGCUGCCUGCGUGAAAGAUAAGUAAUACUGGUGGUUAAGCUGUAAUAGAAAUUCAGUUGAUGAGACAAGAUCGAAGUUCUGCCAUUGAAUACUCCUUGAACUUGGAACUCUUCUGAAUAGGCCCAAAGGAAGAUAACUUUGACUAUAUAAACUACUUUUGGUCAUUACAGGUCGACUAUUAUGUUCUCUUGUCUUAUAAAACAAAUAUCAUCUAAAAUAUUGUACAUGAUUAUAAACAUAACCUUUCCAAAAUAAAAUCAGAACUUUUUCCUGUGCCAGCAUCA
Molecule: long non-coding RNA, 761 nt
Filed under: Homo sapiens (human)
Lineage: Eukaryota; Metazoa; Chordata; Mammalia; Primates; Hominidae
Description: long independently transcribed non-coding RNA 2307 (LINC02307)
Source: RNAcentral